CGGGUGCGAGCGUUGUCCGGAAUUAUUGGGCGUAAAGAGCUUGUAGGCGGUUUGUCGCGUCUGCCGUGAAAAUCCGGGGCUCAACCCCGGACUUGCGGUGGGUACGGGCAGACUAGAGUGUGGUAGGGGAGACUGGAAUUCCUGGUGUAGCGGUGAAAUGCGCAGAUAUCAGGAGGAACACCGAUGGCGAAGGCAGGUCUCUGGGCCACUACUGACGCUGAGAAGCGAAAGCGUGGGGAGCGAACAGGAUUAGAUACCCUGGUAGUCCACGCCGUAAACGUUGGGAACUAGGUGUGGGUCUCAUUCCACGAGAUCUGUGCCGCAGCUAACGCAUUAAGUUCCCCGCCUGGGGAGUACGGCCGCAAGGCUA
This 370-nucleotide ribosomal RNA is filed under the name uncultured bacterium. RNAcentral's name for it is "bacterial SSU rRNA". It matches the Rfam family "Bacterial small subunit ribosomal RNA", at positions 529 to 896 of the family's 1533-position model. The record is from RNAcentral.